AACCUGUCUGGCCAUAAGCAAGAACAGUGGCAUUAUAACCUUGAAACAAACCAUCAACAAGAGGAGCCACACACUCUUGAUACAUGGCAGUUGAGGGAGAAGCUGUGCUCCCGUAAACAUGAUCAAAAGUAAAGGAAUGUGUACCAAUUUGCACCUGUGGCUUCCCAUGGACCACAGAAACACAAUCUUUACAACCCUGAAGCUUCUCAUCUCCAAUAAGUGGCCUUAUAUGAACAGCUACUUUAACACAACAAUCCUCCCCAGCCCCAGGAGAAGUUUCCAUAACAAAUCUUCAACAACAACAAAAAAAACAGAGAGA
Molecule: unclassified non-coding RNA, 319 nt
Filed under: Hevea brasiliensis (rubber tree)
Lineage: Eukaryota; Viridiplantae; Streptophyta; Magnoliopsida; Malpighiales; Euphorbiaceae
Source: RNAcentral